RNAcentral lists this ribosomal RNA (749 nucleotides) under uncultured bacterium. RNAcentral describes it as "bacterial SSU rRNA". It matches the Rfam family "Bacterial small subunit ribosomal RNA", at positions 8 to 798 of the family's 1533-position model. The record is from RNAcentral.
AGAGUUUGAUCAUGGCUCAGAACGAACGCUGGCGGCAUGCUUAACACAUGCAAGUCGAACGAGACCUUCGGGUCUAGUGGCGCACGGGUGCGUAACGCGUGGGAAUCUACCCUUUGCUACGGAAUAACUCAGAGAAAUUUGUGCUAAUACCGUAUGAUGUCGAAAGACCAAAGAUUUAUCGGCAAAGGACGAGCCCGCGUAGGAUUAGCUAGUUGGUGUGGUAAAGGCGCACCAAGGCGACGAUCCUUAGCUGGUCUGAGAGGAUGAUCAGCCACACUGGGACUGAGAUACGGCCCAGACUCCUACGGGAGGCAGCAGUGGGGAAUAUUGCACAAUGGGCGCAAGCCUGAUGCAGCGACGCCGCGUGAGGGAUGACGGCCUUCGGGUUGUAAACCUCUUUCAGUAGGGACGAAGCGAAAGUGACGGUACCUACAGAAGAAGGACCGGCCAACUACGUGCCAGCAGCCGCGGUAAUACGGAGGAUCCAAGCGUUAUCCGGAAUCAUUGGGUUUAAAGGGUCCGUAGGCGGUUUGGUAAGUCAGUGGUGAAAGCCCGCAGCUCAACUGUGGAACGGCCAUUGAUACUGCCAGACUUGAAUUACAAGGAAGUAACUAGAAUAUGUAGUGUAGCGGUGAAAUGCUUAGAUAUUACAUGGAAUACCAAUUGCGAAGGCAGGUUACUACUUGUGGAUUGACGCUGAUGGACGAAGGCGUGGGGAGCGAACAGGAUUAGAUACCCUGGUAGUCCAA